Molecule: ribosomal RNA, 253 nt
Filed under: uncultured bacterium
Lineage: Bacteria
Description: partial 16S ribosomal RNA
Rfam family: Bacterial small subunit ribosomal RNA
Source: RNAcentral
UACGUAGGGUGCGAGCGUUAAUCGGAAUUACUGGGCGUAAAGCGUGCGCAGGCGGUUUUGUAAGACAGGUGUGAAAUCCCCGGGCUUAACCUGGGAACUGCGCUUGUGACUGCAAGACUCGAGUACGGCAGAGGGGGGUGGAAUUCCACGUGUAGCAGUGAAAUGCGUAGAGAUGUGGAGGAACACCGAUGGCGAAGGCAGCCCCCUGGGUCAACACUGACGCUCAUGCACGAAAGCGUGGGGAGCAAACAGG